RNAcentral lists this ribosomal RNA (2933 nucleotides) under Bacillus velezensis FZB42. RNAcentral describes it as "bacterial LSU rRNA". It matches the Rfam family "Bacterial large subunit ribosomal RNA". The record is from RNAcentral. Lineage: Bacteria; Bacillati; Bacillota; Bacilli; Caryophanales; Bacillaceae. RNAcentral also lists the same sequence under 1 other name.
GGUUAAGUUAGAAAGGGCGCACGGUGGAUGCCUUGGCACUAGGAGCCGAUGAAGGACGGGACGAACACCGAUAUGCUUCGGGGAGCUGUAAGCAAGCUUUGAUCCGGAGAUUUCCGAAUGGGGAAACCCACCACUCGUAAUGGAGUGGUAUCCAUAUCUGAAUACAUAGGGUAUGAGAAGGCAGACCCGGGGAACUGAAACAUCUAAGUACCCGGAGGAAGAGAAAGCAAAUGCGAUUCCCUGAGUAGCGGCGAGCGAAACGGGACCAGCCCAAACCAAGAGGCUUGCCUCUUGGGGUUGUAGGACACUCUGUACGGAGUUACAAAGGAACGAGGUAGAUGAAGAGGUCUGGAAAGGCCCGCCAUAGGAGGUAACAGCCCUGUAGUCAAAACUUCGUUCUCUCCUGAGUGGAUCCUGAGUACGGCGGAACACGUGAAAUUCCGUCGGAAUCCGGGAGGACCAUCUCCCAAGGCUAAAUACUCCCUAGUGACCGAUAGUGAACCAGUACCGUGAGGGAAAGGUGAAAAGCACCCCGGAAGGGGAGUGAAAGAGAUCCUGAAACCGUGUGCCUACAAGUAGUCAGAGCCCGUUAACGGGUGAUGGCGUGCCUUUUGUAGAAUGAACCGGCGAGUUACGAUCCCGUGCAAGGUUAAGCAGAAGAUGCGGAGCCGCAGCGAAAGCGAGUCUGAAUAGGGCGAAUUGAGUACGUGGUCGUAGACCCGAAACCAGGUGAUCUACCCAUGUCCAGGGUGAAGUUCAGGUAACACUGAAUGGAGGCCCGAACCCACGCACGUUGAAAAGUGCGGGGAUGAGGUGUGGGUAGGGGUGAAAUGCCAAUCGAACCUGGAGAUAGCUGGUUCUCUCCGAAAUAGCUUUAGGGCUAGCCUCAAGGUAAGAGUCUCGGAGGUAGAGCACUGAUUGGACUAGGGGCCCCUACCGGGUUACCGAAUUCAGUCAAACUCCGAAUGCCGAUGACUUAUCCUUGGGAGUCAGACUGCGAGUGAUAAGAUCCGUAGUCGAAAGGGAAACAGCCCAGACCGCCAGCUAAGGUCCCAAAGUAUACGUUAAGUGGAAAAGGAUGUGGAGUUGCUUAGACAACCAGGAUGUUGGCUUAGAAGCAGCCACCAUUUAAAGAGUGCGUAAUAGCUCACUGGUCGAGUGACUCUGCGCCGAAAAUGUACCGGGGCUAAACGUAUCACCGAAGCUGCGGACUGUUCUUCGAACAGUGGUAGGAGAGCGUUCUAAGGGCUGUGAAGCAAGACCGGAAGGACUUGUGGAGCGCUUAGAAGUGAGAAUGCCGGUAUGAGUAGCGAAAGAGGGGUGAGAAUCCCCUCCACCGAAUGCCUAAGGUUUCCUGAGGAAGGCUCGUCCGCUCAGGGUUAGUCGGGACCUAAGCCGAGGCCGAAAGGCGUAGGCGAUGGAUAACAGGUUGAUAUUCCUGUACCACCUCCUCACCAUUUGAGCAAUGGGGGGACGCAGGAGGAUAGGGUAAGCGCGGUAUUGGAUAUCCGCGUCCAAGCAGUUAGGCUGGGAAAUAGGCAAAUCCGUUUCCCGUGAAGGCUGAGCUGUGAUGGCGAGCGAAUUAUAGUAGCGAAGUUCCUGAUUCCACACUGCCAAGAAAAGCCUCUAGCGAGGUGAGAGGUGCCCGUACCGCAAACCGACACAGGUAGGCGAGGAGAGAAUCCUAAGGUGAUCGAGAGAACUCUCGUUAAGGAACUCGGCAAAAUGACCCCGUAACUUCGGGAGAAGGGGUGCUCUGUUAGGGUGCAAGCCCGAGAGAGCCGCAGUGAAUAGGCCCAGGCGACUGUUUAGCAAAAACACAGGUCUCUGCGAAGCCGUAAGGCGAAGUAUAGGGGCUGACGCCUGCCCGGUGCUGGAAGGUUAAGAGGAGCGCUUAGCGUAAGCGAAGGUGCGAAUUGAAGCCCCAGUAAACGGCGGCCGUAACUAUAACGGUCCUAAGGUAGCGAAAUUCCUUGUCGGGUAAGUUCCGACCCGCACGAAAGGCGCAACGAUCUGGGCACUGUCUCAACGAGAGACUCGGUGAAAUUAUAGUACCUGUGAAGAUGCAGGUUACCCGCGACAGGACGGAAAGACCCCGUGGAGCUUUACUGCAGCCUGAUAUUGAAUGUUGGUACAGCUUGUACAGGAUAGGUAGGAGCCUUGGAAACCGGAGCGCCAGCUUCGGUGGAGGCAUCGGUGGGAUACUACCCUGGCUGUAUUGACCUUCUAACCCGCCGCCCUUAUCGGGCGGGGAGACAGUGUCAGGUGGGCAGUUUGACUGGGGCGGUCGCCUCCUAAAAGGUAACGGAGGCGCCCAAAGGUUCCCUCAGAAUGGUUGGAAAUCAUUCGCAGAGUGUAAAGGCACAAGGGAGCUUGACUGCGAGACCUACAAGUCGAGCAGGGACGAAAGUCGGGCUUAGUGAUCCGGUGGUUCCGCAUGGAAGGGCCAUCGCUCAACGGAUAAAAGCUACCCCGGGGAUAACAGGCUUAUCUCCCCCAAGAGUCCACAUCGACGGGGAGGUUUGGCACCUCGAUGUCGGCUCAUCGCAUCCUGGGGCUGUAGUCGGUCCCAAGGGUUGGGCUGUUCGCCCAUUAAAGCGGUACGCGAGCUGGGUUCAGAACGUCGUGAGACAGUUCGGUCCCUAUCCGUCGCGGGCGCAGGAAAUUUGAGAGGAGCUGUCCUUAGUACGAGAGGACCGGGAUGGACGCACCGCUGGUGUACCAGUUGUUCUGCCAAGGGCAUCGCUGGGUAGCUAUGUGCGGACGGGAUAAGUGCUGAAAGCAUCUAAGCAUGAAGCCCCCCUCAAGAUGAGAUUUCCCAUUCCGCAAGGAAGUAAGAUCCCUGAAAGAUGAUCAGGUUGAUAGGUCUGAGGUGGAAGUGUGGCGACACAUGGAGCUGACAGAUACUAAUCGAUCGAGGACUUAACCAAUUU